GAUGGCGGGGUACUAGACCAUAGUUGACGCUGAGGCACGAAAGCGUGGGGAUCAAACAGGAUUAGAUACCUGGUAGUCCACGCCCUAAACGAUGAUCACUAGAUAUUGGCGACAGACAGUCAGUGUCUAAGCGAAAGUGAUAAGUGAUCCACUGGGGAAUACGGCCGCAAGGUUAAAACUCAAAGGAAUUGACGGGGGCCCGCACAAGCGGAGGAGCAUGUGGUUUAAUUCGAUGGUACGCGAGGAACCUUACCUGGGUUAGAACGUAUGAUAGAUGUAGCUGAAAGGUUACAGACCUGCGAGGGAUAUCAUACGAGGUGCUGCAUGGUUGUCGUCAGCUCGUGCCGUGAGGUGUUUGGUUAAGUCCAGCAACGAGCGCAACCCCUACCUUUAGUUGCCAUCAGGUAAAGCUGGGGACACUAGAGGGACUGCCUGCGCAAGCAGAGAGGAAGGUGGGGAUGACGUCAAAUCAGCACGGCCCUUAUGUCCAGGGCUACACACGUGCUACAAUGGUAACUACAGAGGGCAGCGACUAGGCGACUAGGAGCGAAUCUCGAAAAGUUAUCUCAGUUCGGAUUGGAGUCUGCAACUCGACUCCAUGAAGGUGGAUUCGCUAGUAAUCGCGCAUCAGCAAUGGCGCGGUGAAUACGUUCCCGGGCCUUGUACACACCGCCCGUCAAGCCAUGGAAGUUGGGGGUACCUGAAGUUCGUAACCGUAAAAGGAGCGACCUAGGGUAAACUCGAUGACUGGGGCUAAGUCGUAACAAGGUAACCGUAAAU
This 780-nucleotide ribosomal RNA is filed under the name uncultured bacterium. Its description in RNAcentral is "bacterial SSU rRNA". It matches the Rfam family "Bacterial small subunit ribosomal RNA", at positions 717 to 1507 of the family's 1533-position model. The record is from RNAcentral.